UUGCAAACUCGAUCACUGGCUCUGCCUGCUGUGGCAGAAGCAAGGGGAACAGGUUUGCUAUAUUAAAUGUGGCAACAGAAGUGUACUGGCUUUAGCGUUAAUAACACUAAGGCAGUUUAUUCUGUAACAUAACAGCA
Molecule: small nucleolar RNA, 137 nt
Organism: Podarcis muralis (Common wall lizard)
Lineage: Eukaryota; Metazoa; Chordata; Lepidosauria; Squamata; Lacertidae
Source: Ensembl